GGCUGCGGACAGACAGCAGUGGCGAACAGUGUUCUUUUAAGUUUGACCUCAAAUCAGGUAGGAGUACCCGCUGAACUUAAGCAUAUCAAUAAGCGGAGGAAAAGAAACCAACCGGGAUUGCCUUAGUAGCGGCGAGUGAAGCGGCAAGAGCUCAAAUUUGAAAUCUAGCGCCUUCGGUGCUCGAGUUGUAAUUUGGAGAGUGGAUCCUUGGGGCCGUUCCUUGCCUAUGUUCCUUGGAACAGGACGUCAUGGAGGGUGAGAACCCCGUGUGGCGAGGGGCGCGGUUCCGUGUAAGGGCUGCUCGAAGAGUCGAGUUGUUUGGGAAUGCAGCUCUAAGUGGGUGGUAAAUUCCAUCUAAAGCUAAAUAUUGGCGAGAGACCGAUAGCGAACAAGUACAGUGAUGGAAAGAUGAAAAGAACUUUGAAAAGAGAGUGAAAAAGUACGUGAAAUUGUUGAAAGGGAAGGGCAUUUGAUCAGACAUGGUGUUUUGCGCCCCCUGCUCCUCGUGGGCGGGGGACUCUCGCAGCUCACUGGGCCAGCAUCAGUUUUGGCGGCCGGACAAAGCCGGAGGAAUGUGGCUUCUCUCGAGAAGUGUUAUAGCCUGCGGGAAUGCGGCCAGCCGGGACUGAGGAACGCGACUUUUGUCAAGGAUGCUGGCAUAAUGG
Molecule: ribosomal RNA, 665 nt
Filed under: Arxiozyma telluris
Lineage: Eukaryota; Fungi; Ascomycota; Saccharomycetes; Saccharomycetales; Saccharomycetaceae
Description: LSU rRNA
Rfam family: Eukaryotic large subunit ribosomal RNA
Source: RNAcentral